Arachis ipaensis is the source of this 834-nucleotide non-coding RNA. NCBI's taxonomy places the organism in Eukaryota, Viridiplantae, Streptophyta, Magnoliopsida, Fabales, Fabaceae. The record is from RefSeq and is a predicted model, not a curated record.
UUUUCUCUUCAUUUAAUUAUAUUCUACUGAUGUGGCUUUCCAUGGUUCCUUGCAACUCUGCAAUCGUCAUAGUAUCCAUAUCGUGGGACUCUAGUAUCGUAGUCACCACAUGGUCAUACUUCAUCGGCAUGGUGCGAAGAAUUUUCUCCACCACUUUGCUAUCGGGCAUAUCUUCUCCAUAGACUCUCAUCUUAUUGACAAAGUCUGUAACACGAGUAAAAUAUUGCUCAACGGUUUCUGAGCUAGACAUCUCAUACCUUUCAUAUUCUCUUCUCAAAGACUGUAGCUUUGCUUUCUGAGCUUUAUCUACGCCUUUAUAUGACAGUUUCAACGUGUUCCAUGCUUCUUUUGCACUUUUAGCAUUUGCUAUUUUGCCAAACACCGUAUAAUCUACUCCUUGAUGAAUUUGAAAUAGCGCCAAUUGAUCUCUCCUUUGUUGGGCAACAUCUGCUCCUUCUUACAAACCUGGUUCAAUGAAAUUCCACCGGUUCUGGGCCUUCAAAUGGGUAGACAUCAAAGUCUUCCAAUAACUAUAAUCAAGUUUCCCAUCUAACUUGGGACCGGACCACACAAUAUUAAAAGUGUUUGCCAUACCGACUCUAUGAAUCAACAACUAUGUGAGAACUCUCCCACACCUCGCAAACUCUCAAACACCAGGCGCCGGAUUAACCAGCUCUGAUACCAAUUGUAAGUAAAAUACCCACACUUCAAUUGGCCCCAAGAUCACUCACUUUCUUAAGUAACACUAUCAUAUUUUCAAUCUCUCAAACUCACCAACACUCAUAUGAAAUAAUAGAACAAAGAAGGACUUCACAUAAUCAUAUCUUUUUUCAU